GCCUCGGUAGCUUAGCUUGGCCAAAGCGAUGGCUUCGUAUCAAAAAGAGGAAAAGCCAUUUACCGCGGGUUCAAAUCCCGCCCGAGGCU
This is a transfer RNA of 89 nucleotides. It matches the Rfam family "tRNA". Rfam says of the family: Transfer RNA (tRNA) molecules are approximately 80 nucleotides in length. Their secondary structure includes four short double-helical elements and three loops (D, anti-codon, and T loops). The record is from Rfam.